Molecule: long non-coding RNA, 673 nt
Filed under: Mytilus galloprovincialis (Mediterranean mussel)
Lineage: Eukaryota; Metazoa; Mollusca; Bivalvia; Mytilida; Mytilidae
Source: RNAcentral
UCUGAUUGUCUACCUUUAAGACUUGUUUUGUUGUGAUGUAUAUUGUAAGCUAUAUUUCAAUGCAUAUCAGUCAAACAACAGAAAACCAAGGAGAUUCUGUCUAUAUUAUUGAAUUACAAAACUUUUUACAUCAACAUAUUGACUAAAUAUCAAAAAUAUUUAAAACAGGUGAUAAGGCUAAUAAUAAUUGUAUAUACCUCAACCAUAUUAUAACAAUUCAUUCACAAGUUAUUUCAAAUCACUCAAGAAAAUAUAACAUAAAUAUGGAGAAAAAUAUUCUCUCUCUUUAAAGAAAUGGGUGGAUGUACAAAAGAAAAAUUAUCCACCAUAAUAUGAAAAAAUACUAUAGAAAAACAACAGUACUGUUUUAUAUUACCAAAAAUGAUUGUUCUGAUUAAACUUCUAACUAAACAUGCUAAAGACAAUUUAAUCCGCACACCAGAAUAUCAGUAUACAUCUGCAGCAUUUAUCUUUAAAUUCAAUUAUAAAGUAUUUCAAAUCAAAUAACAUCAAUUAUAAAGUAUUUCAAAUCAAAUAACAUCAAUUAUCUGUUCAUCAAUUUUAAUUACCUGAGGUGAUUAAGAUAAACAUAAAAUUACUAUUGCAGCUUUUUAACUAGUUCUCCAACAUUAAUAUAGAAUCUUCUCCUCAGAACCUUUUAACUGCUUGUCAC